RNAcentral lists this ribosomal RNA (261 nucleotides) under uncultured prokaryote. Its description in RNAcentral is "partial 16S ribosomal RNA". It matches the Rfam family "Bacterial small subunit ribosomal RNA", at positions 524 to 784 of the family's 1533-position model. The record is from RNAcentral.
UACGUAGGGUGCGAGCGUUAUCCGGAAUCACUGGGCGUAAAGGGAGCGUAGGCGGACUUUUAAGUGAGAUGUGAAAUACCCGGGCUCAACUUGGGUGCUGCAUUUCAAACUGGAAGUCUAGAGUGCAGGAGAGGAGAAUGGAAUUCCUAGUGUAGCGGUGAAAUGCGUAGAUAUUAGGAGGAACACCAGUAGCGAAGGCGGCUCUCUGGACUGUAACUGACGCUGAGGCACGAAAGCGUGGGGAGCAAACAGGAUUAGAUA